Molecule: ribosomal RNA, 478 nt
Filed under: uncultured bacterium
Lineage: Bacteria
Description: partial 16S ribosomal RNA
Rfam family: Bacterial small subunit ribosomal RNA
Source: RNAcentral
GACGAACGCUGGCGGCGUGCUUAACACAUGCAAGUCGAACGGUAAGGCCCUUCGGGGUACACGAGUGGCGAACGGGUGAGUAACACGUGGGUGAUCUGCCCUGCACUUCGGGAUAAGCCUGGGAAACUGGGUCUAAUACCGGAUAGGACUCCUGGCUUCAUGGUUGGGGGUGGAAAGCUUUUGCGGUGUGGGAUGGGCCCGCGGCCUAUCAGCUUGUUGGUGGGGUAAUGGCCUACCAAGGCGACGACGGGUAGCCGGCCUGAGAGGGUGACCGGUCACACUGGGACUGAGAUACGGCCCAGACUCCUACGGGAGGCAGCAGUGGGGAAUAUUGCACAAUGGGCGCAAGCCUGAUGCAGCGACGCCGCGUGAGGGAUGACGGCUUUCGGGUUGUAAACCUCUUUCAGCAGGGAAGAAGCGUGAGUGACGGUACCUGCAGAAGAAGCACCGGCUAACUACGUGCCAGCCGCCGCCGUAA